Long non-coding RNA from Phyllostomus hastatus (greater spear-nosed bat), 2218 nucleotides. RefSeq lists it as uncharacterized. The transcript is spliced from 2 exons. Lineage: Eukaryota; Metazoa; Chordata; Mammalia; Chiroptera; Phyllostomidae. The record is from RefSeq and is a predicted model, not a curated record.
GCGAGCGAGCGCAACCUCGCGCUUCCACAAGGUCGCCAACCCGAGGAAAGCAGACACGGGGUUCCUGAACCCUGCCGGCACGCCCAGCCGUGGGGCGAGGGACCCCUGCGCAGCAUUCCAUGCCGCUCCAGGCCCCCACCCGGAGGAGCCGGCCGCGCGGGUGCCUGAGCAGCUCCGCCUUCGCGAGAGAACAUUACUGACGCGCUGGCCCGCAGCUUGAGCCAAAAAAGGAGUCCAUCCCCCCGCCCCCCCCACCCCCGAUCAGCCGCCUCAGUCGAGGGGCGAUCCCCUCCUUUCCCUCACCGCUCUUUCCAGGACUCUGGAAUGACCAGCCUCAAGCGGACUCUACACUUGGCCACCCUGAGUGUUGCGGGCCGCCUAACAGCCAAUUGGGUGCGGGGUACAUGGGAGAGGGGAGUGAGACCAGGGGAAAUAUCCGGCCGAGCAAGUCACCCCACUACCCAAUUCCACGCCACUCCAUCUGUCGUCCAAGCGCCUACGCAGGAGCUUUGCGCCAAAUCCUCUUGGGCCGAGGGCCUGCUGGGAUCCGAAAGGCAGGGGAAAGUUUGCAGAGAUUUUAAUGUGAUUCCUAGGAGCGCCUGCUUAAGGUAUCGAGGUGCUACCCACGGCUCCCCUACUGUGCCUCCCAGACGGUCGUGGCCCACCUGGCGGACCCUGCCCAGGUCCCAGAGCCUUUGGACCCCAAGCUCUCGGGGUCUCGUCCCCAGAGCCACCGGGAGCCUCCGGAACAGAGUUCAUCAAGAAGCCUCUAGUCCCCUGUAAAGCACCCCUGAGCGGUUCCAAGGGAAAGGGAACCAUAGUACCCCAGGAGGUGCCUCUCCACAAUCUUCUGCGCAGAUCUGUGGUCUCUUGCCUCCAGAAGCAAAGUCAGCAGAACCUUUAGACUUGACUUUCUUGUUGUGGUGGAGAGGAAGUAGGAGGCUAUUGGAGGUGCUGGAGCAGCACCCCCAAGACGAUCUGGCUUCUGAGCGGAGACCUGUGCACCCAGGUACCCGGGUGCAGGCGGAGACGCCGUGCGCCUUAGGAGAAAAGGGCAGCCGCGUCCUGGCCAGCACUCUUGGCAGCUGUCGCCGAGGCCCGCGGGAUUUUGUGGGGGCGCGGAGCUCGGCCUAGCCUAAGGCCACCGGCUACUGCCCUCCCGCUUCCCAACAGCAGACUUGGAAGGGGGGGCGCUGCACACAGCAACCGACGCGGGGCGCAAAUUCUGUGCGCCUGGUGGGAGACGCGGAGGGGAGGGGGCGGACGGGGUUGUGUUUUUCCUUUUCCGAACCUUUCCACUUCCCCGCGAAGUUUCCUGAUAGGCACCUCCACGCUGUGGUCCCAGCCUUGCACCGCCCCCGCGAGCCCAGCCAGCCUGAGCCUCCGACUGGACCUGGCCGCCCACUCGAAUCCUCCCCCCGCCCCCGUGGGGACCCGGUGUUGCCUGGAGCGCCGCGGCGCCCUGCCCACUCCCUUCCCGGGCUCCGCGGGGUUGCCUCUCCCCGGGGCGAAACUCGCCGACAGGGCGCACUGCAAGGAGACACCCGCUGCCUCCCGAGAACUCCUAAUACCAUCCAUACAGCUUUAAUGCGUUUAUAAUUCGAUAAGUGAUUUCAAUUUGAAAUUGUUAGUAACUAAUUUUAUGGGUAAUUUUUCCACAUCAAAUAUUUAAGCAUCAGAUUAAGGGAGCCAGUUCCGACACAGGAUAAUAAGGGGGUUUUCCCCCCACCCUCCGCGCCUCCGCCUCCCUCCGUCUCCUACCGAGUCGUUUUUCCAAAUCCCCAAAAGGUGGCAGUCGAAGCCGACGUUCUUCUUUUCCUGCGGCUCUGCAAGGGGAGGAGGAGAGGGGGGAAGAGCAGGGGGUAGAAGGAGAGAAAGGAGGAAAAGGAGGGAGCGAGCGAGAGGAGAGGGAGAAACUAGACGUUGCAGGGACUUCUCAGACUAAUACUUUCACACGUUUCUAAUACAAGCCAGAAGCAGUGGUGAAUUUCCUGGAAAUGUCCUGGCAGAAAAGAAAGUCAAAAAACGUGCCUGUGGGCUCAGAAGAUGUGAGAAACUCGGCACUUUGAAAGUAAACUCUCAAUUCAGAGCAGAAGAGGGAGAGGGGAGACCGGGAGACAGACUGGCUUUUUAAUAUUUCCUUGUAUUUUAACAUUAUAUACAAAUACUAAACAACAAGGCAACUUGUUUCUUCGAGAAUUGGCCUCUGCAGAUAACA